Molecule: ribosomal RNA, 301 nt
Filed under: uncultured bacterium
Lineage: Bacteria
Description: partial 16S ribosomal RNA
Rfam family: Bacterial small subunit ribosomal RNA
Source: RNAcentral
CAGCAGCCGCGGUAAAACGUAGGGUGCAAGCGUUAAUCGGAAUUACUGGGCGUAAAGCGUGCGCAGGCGGUUAUAUAAGACAGAUGUGAAAUCCCCGGGCUCAACCUGGGAACUGCAUUUGUGACUGUAUAGCUAGAGUACGGCAGAGGGGGAUGGAAUUCCGCGUGUAGCAGUGAAAUGCGUAGAUAUGCGGAGGAACACCGAUGGCGAAGGCAAUCCCCUGGGCCUGUACUGACGCUCAUGCACGAAAGCGUGGGGAGCAAACAGGAUUAGAGACCCGGGUAGUCCCUGUCUCUUAUAC